GUUAAUACAUGCUUACAUAAACUUGAAUUUUUUUUACAUUGACUUCAUAAACUAAUGGUUGAUUGUAGAAAUUGUAUUUGCUCUUUAUUUAAUAGUUUCAGAUUUGCAAGAAUUUUCUUAGGCAAUGUACUGGUGAUAGCCCGAUGGCAAGAAUUUGGUUAAGCAAUGCUACAAUCAAUUUAGUUUUGGAAAUUGACCCCUUGCUCACAAUUAGAACCCCAUCAGAGGCCAUGUCUCUCUUUUUCAUGUGGCUCUGAUGAGUUAAUAGAUUCUGAUUGAUGGACACUUGUUGCAGAUAGAGAAUGGUAAGCUGCCGCCGCAGAUACGGGUCAAUGGACACUUGCUGCAGAUAGGGAAUUGUUUCAGACUUUGAAAGAAUGGGCAGAAACAAUCCAUCAUUGAUCAAAGUCUCUGAAAAAUAUUUACCAGGUCAGUAGAUUGCUAGACAAAUUAUGUCACUGUUUUUUGUACACAAUGCAGCUAUAUUCAUUUAAGACUCAUAGACAUAUUUUUGUAGACAAUCAAAUGGAUGAUUCAAAAAAAAUUAUGGCUAACCGCUAGCACAGAUGAUUUCUGAUAUGUCUCAAUGUAACAGGGGAGAAAGGGGAAAAAACAAUGUGAAUAUCAUGCAAGAAAGAAGAUGGCUAAAAGAAAUUUAUCUCUAUGUAUGCCUGAUUAUGAUAACAUAUAUCAUUCUUUGGCUUCUUGUUUGAGGCGUGGCCAGGCUCGUGUGUGAGUGUGGGGGGUGGGCAGCGGACGAAGUCCGGCCACCUCGCCGUCACAGAGGACGUGGAUGCUGCAUCGCUGUCGCCGUCACAGAGGACGCAGAUCUAGGCUCUAGGGAACUCCUAUGAACAAAGGCAUAUCUUCUGAACUUCUAUGCUAUGACAUAGAGAUCCAAGGUUUUGCAAAGUCACCGAGUCACAAAAAAAGGGUAAUCACAGUACUGCAUUCUUAACAAGUGCCAAGAAGGGACAUGUUCUGGUUAACAAUCUCAAGGCGCUCACCAACUUCGGUGUGGAGGCAUGGAAGAUGGAAGGUCUGUUGGAAAAUUUUAGGUGUGGAGGAAUCCAAUUUCAGGUUAUAUGUAUUAAGCUACUUUGGAAUUUUUCAUUAGCUUCUGUAGGACAUUGCAAACUAUAAAUGGUAGCUCUUGUUUUGUCUAUGUAAAAGUUGCAUUUGUGAAUUUUGCGUGUUGCUGAGUGAUCAUUGGGAUUCAUUCAUUAGUUUCUGAAAGCAUCAAGAAAACUCUGCUCAAGGAAUCUCAUUGGCAAAGUUUAUUGUUUGAUUAGUAAUAGUCAUUAUGUUGAUUU
Long non-coding RNA from Panicum virgatum (switchgrass), 1313 nucleotides. RefSeq lists it as uncharacterized. Lineage: Eukaryota; Viridiplantae; Streptophyta; Magnoliopsida; Poales; Poaceae. The record is from RefSeq and is a predicted model, not a curated record. The transcript has 4 exons.